GCCCGGGUGGCGAAAUUGGUAGACGCAACGGACUUAAAAUCCGUUGACCCUUGGGUCGUGCGGGUUCAAGUCCCGCCCCGGGCACCA
Molecule: transfer RNA, 87 nt
Filed under: Alcanivorax hongdengensis A-11-3
Lineage: Bacteria; Pseudomonadati; Pseudomonadota; Gammaproteobacteria; Oceanospirillales; Alcanivoracaceae
Description: tRNA-Leu
Rfam family: tRNA
About the family: Transfer RNA (tRNA) molecules are approximately 80 nucleotides in length.
Source: RNAcentral